GGGGGGGUUGAAAAAAAAAAAAAGUUUACGUUGUGUGGGAACUUCGUUCCCCGCGCAGGCGAGCAGACACUGACUGUUAUGAAAGACUAUAGCUGUGUUCCUGUUCUCCACCAAGAGAUAAAAAACGAUAGAACUUCUUUCUUGGGCCGGCUGGGGCAUUUACAUGAGCGCCUGGCUGGACGCAAAACAGGUUAAACCAGGUCCUCCAGCCCCUGGCCCACGUCCCUCUGGCAUCGCGGAGGAGAUCCUGCCCCAGAAUACCUGCAUCCGCCCCCAGUGAGCCUGCAUCAUUCCACACCUCCCCUACCCCCACCGCAGUCUCCCCGGAUCAGUCCAGGACAAAGAGGUGAGUGCGGGGGGGGGGGGGGGGGGCGGAGAGGGUGGCUGGUCAAGGGCGGAGGACAGCUGCAGAGGCCCCAGACCUCCCUGCCACGUUCUGAGGCUAAGCCAAAAUUCCUAAGAUUUUGACAUGUGUUGAGUCAACAUGCCCUUACCUCAGCUGACUGGGGAUUGGAACCCAGGCCCAGGUGGGGGCCGCUGAGGUCAUAGGAUUAUACAGAACCACAUAAUUCUGUAAGUUUUAGGUCCUGGGGGAGUUUCUCAAAUUAUAAUAUUACAAGCUUUUGGAACCCCAGGGUUUCAAAAUCUGGGAUGUCUGAUCUGAAUUUCUUGAGUUCCAGGAGGCUGAGAAUCUAGACCAUGGGUCAAUAAGCUUUUUUCUUUCUUUUUUUCUUUUUUAAGCUUUUUUCUGUAAAAGGCCAAAAAGUUAAUAUUUUCAGCUUUGCAGCCCAGGGACUACUCAGCCUCAAGCAGUCUGUACACAAACAGCUGGGCGCCAAUAAAACUCUGUCCAAACAUGGAAAUUUGGAUAUUAUAUGAUUUCCAUGUGUCAUAGAAUAGUAUUCUUCUUUUGAUUCUUUAAAAACCUCUUAAAAAUGUAAACACCAUUCUUAGCUCGUGGGCUAUACCGGAAAAAAAAAAAAUAGCAUCUGAAUUUGACCCACAGUCCAGAACAGCGUUGGGCAGUAGAAAAAUAAGACAAACCAUACACAGAAUUUUAAAUGUUGGCUCAUGUUAAAGAACUAAAAGAGAAUUGUUUUGGUCAUAUAUUUCACUUCACUUGAUAUCUGGGAAAUAUGAUCAUUGCAACAGGUAAUCGAUAUGAAAAAUGAUGUAUGAGGUAUUUCACACCUGUUUCUGUCCCGUGUCUGAAAUCUGGCCUGUUUCCCGACACUGACGUUUCCUCGGAGACACUCAUAUGUAGCCCGACUGCGUAAAACUGACGCUGAAAAGGAAAACGC
This 1301-nucleotide long non-coding RNA is filed under the name Delphinapterus leucas (beluga whale). RNAcentral describes it as "lncRNA (ENSDLEG00000010362.1)". The record is from RNAcentral. Lineage: Eukaryota; Metazoa; Chordata; Mammalia; Artiodactyla; Monodontidae.